UCCCUGAGCGUUCUGGCUCUGAUAGGUUC
This 29-nucleotide non-coding RNA is filed under the name Rattus norvegicus (Norway rat). Lineage: Eukaryota; Metazoa; Chordata; Mammalia; Rodentia; Muridae. The record is from RNAcentral.